GACAGACUGGGAUAACCGUUGGCAGACCAAGAAGUGGACGUCCACGGAUCACAACGCCAGGUGAAGAUAGGUACCUCUGUCAUUAAGGAAAGAGGGUAGCGUUUCUUUUGGCGUUUAGUGAGUACGUUAAAAU
This is a long non-coding RNA of Haliotis rubra (blacklip abalone), 133 nucleotides long. RefSeq lists it as uncharacterized. The record is from RefSeq and is a predicted model, not a curated record. Lineage: Eukaryota; Metazoa; Mollusca; Gastropoda; Lepetellida; Haliotidae. The transcript is spliced from 3 exons.